GACGAACGCUGGCGGCGUGCCUAAUACAUGCAAGUUGAGCGCUGAAGGUUGGUACUUGUACCAACUGGAUGAGCAGCGAACGGGUGAGUAACGCGUGGGGAAUCUGCCUUUGAGCGGGGGACAACAUUUGGAAACGAAUGCUAAUACCGCAUAAAAACUUUAAACACAAGUUUUAAGUUUGAAAGAUGCAAUUGCAUCACUCAAAGAUGAUCCCGCGUUGUAUUAGCUAGUUGGUGAGGUAAAGGCUCACCAAGGCGAUGAUACAUAGCCGACCUGAGAGGGUGAUCGGCCACAUUGGGACUGAGACACGGCCCAAACUCCUACGGGAGGCAGCAGUAGGGAAUCUUCGGCAAUGGACGAAAGUCUGACCGAGCAACGCCGCGUGAGUGAAGAAGGGUGUCGGAUCGUAAAACUCUGUUGGUAGAGAAGAACGUUGGUGAGAGUGGAAAGCUCAUCAGGUGACGGUAACUACCCAGAAAGGGACGGCUAACUACGUG
Molecule: ribosomal RNA, 497 nt
Filed under: uncultured bacterium
Lineage: Bacteria
Description: partial 16S ribosomal RNA
Rfam family: Bacterial small subunit ribosomal RNA
Source: RNAcentral